Molecule: ribosomal RNA, 456 nt
Filed under: uncultured bacterium
Lineage: Bacteria
Description: bacterial SSU rRNA
Rfam family: Bacterial small subunit ribosomal RNA
Source: RNAcentral
CCGCCAGACUCCUACGGGAGGCAGCAGUAGGGAAUUUUCGGCAAUGGGGGGAACCCUGACCGAGCAACGCUGCGUGAACGAAGAAGUUAUUCGUAAUGUAAAGUUCUUUUAUCAGGGAAGAAAGAGGAAUUUGACGGUACCUGAGGAAUAAGCCCCGGCUAACUACGUGCCAGCAGCCGCGGUAAUACGUAGGGGGCAAGCGUUAUCCGGAUUUACUGGGUGUAAAGGGAGCGUAGACGGCGAAGAAAGUCUGAAGUGAAAGCCCGCGGCUCAACCGCGGAAGUGCUUUGGAAACUUUUUUGCUGGAGUACCGGAGAGGUAAGCGGAAUUCCUAGUGUAGCGGUGAAAUGCGUAGAUAUUAGGAGGAACACCAGUGGCGAAGGCGGCUUACUGGACGGUAACUGACGUUGAGGCUCGAAAGCGUGGGGAGCAAACAGGAUUAGAUACCCUGGUACG